RNAcentral lists this long non-coding RNA (946 nucleotides) under Sander lucioperca (pikeperch). RNAcentral's name for it is "lncRNA (ENSSLUG00000009469.1)". The record is from RNAcentral. Lineage: Eukaryota; Metazoa; Chordata; Actinopteri; Perciformes; Percidae.
CGGUCUUCACCGGAUGUUGCCAAGAAACAUUGAAGCGCCUGUGAAGUACAGAAUCGAGCCCAGCAAAAUGUGUUCAUACCACUCUGUUUGCAAGGUGUUGGUGCAAACGUCCGUGUGAAAAUAGUUGUCUGCAAUCUACUUAUAUUCUCCGUUGAUAUCGAGAGAAGCCCCGGUCUAGGUUUUCUUGCUGUGCCUUACCAAAUUGUGGACCAUGAUGGAGCGAAGAAGAGCCUUAACUAUUCCAUUUAAUGUUGACAAGAAUAACUUGAUGGAUAACCCACUCAAAAUCUCCGUUCCAUGUCUUUCAUCAAAGUAUGGGAAAUUAGAAAGACAGGUUUCCUGGACUACAUUUGCAGAUUGCAAACGCAGACAUCGUGAUUCACAGCAUAAAAAUGGUUCCAUGCUGUUUGAUCACAAGCAUGCAACAUUGGAAAUGGCCAGUGGCCCCCUGUCAACACCCAGAGGCAGCUUCUUCUUCUCCCAGAAAACUUCUGCUCUAACUCUGUUCUUUUAAAUCAGGGCUUAAAACUUUUCUGUUUGUCACUACAUUUUAUUGUUUUAUUUAUUUAUACAUUUGUUUUAAUCAUAUGUUGUAUUGCAACUUUUAUUCCAAUGUUUGAUAUGCCUACUUUUGUUUAGCUUAUUAUUAUUUUAUUAUUAUUAUUGGCAAGUUAACAGUGAAGAUGCAGUCUGGAAAUGUGAGGGAACGAGAGGGGUAUGACAGACAUGCAAAGGUCCAUUGCGGUAAUGUGGUAUUUUAACCAUUUGGCUACAGAGUCUUUUCCUUCUGUCUUUCUGUCUUAUGUAAAGCACUUUGAAUUGCCUUGGCUUGUUGUUGAUGAAAGGUGCUAUACAAAUGCCCUUUCCUGUGUAGUAGGCCUGGGCGAAAAAUCGAUUGAAUGAAUUAAUUCGAGUUUUUUGUCGCGGGCGAUUUAAAAAAUAAGUA